GAUAAACUCAAAAAAAAAUAUGGCUUCUGCUUUACAAAUUUCUUCUCAGUACAGUAAAAUUGCUCUUUGUUCUUUAUUUCCUGUUUUUCCAAAUUUAAGAAAACCAAACAAGGCACUAAAUUCAGUUACCUCAAAUUCCAAUAAAAAGUUUAAAAUUAGAGCAUUGAAGGAGAAAACAACAGAAGAAGUUAAAUCUGCUGAGGAAAUUACAAAGAAAUUUGGUUUAGAAGCUGGCCUAUGGAAGAUAUUUAGCUCAAAAGAGGAUAGAGAUGAAGAGAACAAGGAUAAGAAAUCAAAAGGGGAUCAAGCAAAAGAGCUUUUGGCAAAAUAUGGAGGAGCUUAUUUAGCAACUUCAAUUACUCUCUCAUUGAUAUCAUUUGGUCUCUGUUAUGCUCUCAUCAAUUCUGGUGUUGAUGUUCAAUCCUUGCUACAAAAGGUUGGUAUUUCUACUGAUGAGACUGGUGAGAAAGUGGGAACUUUUGCAUUGGCUUAUGCCGCUCACAAAGCCGCAUCACCUAUUAGAUUUCCCCCUACUGUUGCUUUAACACCAAUUGUUGCUACUUGGAUUGGAAAGAAAGUUGAUAAAGAGAAGUAAAACUAGGUUGAUUUUGGACACAAUUUUGCUGCAGAUGUAAUAUAUGUGUUAGUAAAUACUACAGGUUAAUUAUAUUUACUACUAUUUAAUUGUUAUUGUCAAGUAUAACAACACUGUUG
This 714-nucleotide unclassified non-coding RNA is filed under the name Hevea brasiliensis (rubber tree). The record is from RNAcentral. Lineage: Eukaryota; Viridiplantae; Streptophyta; Magnoliopsida; Malpighiales; Euphorbiaceae.